CAAAAGUCAUUGCGGUUUUUGCUAUUGAAAGUAAUGGCAAAAACUGCAAUUACUUU
Molecule: microRNA precursor, 56 nt
Filed under: Nomascus leucogenys (northern white-cheeked gibbon)
Lineage: Eukaryota; Metazoa; Chordata; Mammalia; Primates; Hylobatidae
Description: miRNA (ENSNLEG00000033919.1)
Source: RNAcentral